UCUUCCGCAAUGGACGAAAGUCUGACGGAGCACCGCCGCGCGAGUGAUGAAGCUUUUCGGAUCGUAAAGCUCUUUUGUUAGGGAAGAACAAGUGCCGUUCUAAUAGGGCGGCACCUUGACUGUACCUAACCAGAACGCCACGGCUAACUACGUGCCAGCAGCCGCGGUAAUACGUAGGUGGCAAGCGUUGUCCGGAAUUAUUGGGCGUAAAGGGCUCGCAGGCGGUUUCUUAAGUCUGAUGUGAAAGCCCCCGGCUCAACCGGGGAGGGUCAUUGGAAACUGGGGAACUUGAGUGCAGAAGAGGAGAGUGGAAUUCCACGUGUAGCGGUGAAAUGCGUAGAGAUGUGGAGGAACACCAGUGGCGAAGGCGACUCUCUGGUCUGUAACCGACGCUGAGGAGCGAAAGCGUGGGGAGCGAACAG
Molecule: ribosomal RNA, 422 nt
Filed under: uncultured bacterium
Lineage: Bacteria
Description: bacterial SSU rRNA
Rfam family: Bacterial small subunit ribosomal RNA
Source: RNAcentral